Molecule: ribosomal RNA, 607 nt
Filed under: Schizoptera (Lophopleurum) sp. 44 SL-2016
Lineage: Eukaryota; Metazoa; Arthropoda; Insecta; Hemiptera; Schizopteridae
Description: bacterial SSU rRNA
Rfam family: Eukaryotic small subunit ribosomal RNA
Source: RNAcentral
GGUUAAAAAGCUCGUAGUUGGUUCUGUGUGCCAUGCUGUUGGUUCACCGCCUGCCGGUGUAACUGACAUGUCAUGGGACGUACUGUCGGUGGUGAUUUAAAGAACCGAUUUUUGGUUUUAAGGUAAAACUUAAACCAGAAAGAGGAAAUCUUUAGUUGCCGAUUAACUCCUACCGCGGUGCUCUUUACUGAGUGUCGAGGUGGGCCGACAUUUUUACUUUGAACAAAUUAGAGUGCUUAAAGCAGGCAAAAAUCUGCCUGAAUAGUGGUGCAUGGAAUAAUAGAAUAGGAUCUUGGUUCUAUUUUGUUGGUUUUUAAGAAUCCAAGGUAAUGAUCAAUAUGGACAGGCGGGGGCAUUCGUAUUGCGACGUUAGAGGUGAAAUUCUUGGAUCGUCGCAAGACGAACUAGAGCGAAAGCAUUUGCCAAGUAUGUCUUAAUUGAUCAAGAACGAAAGUUAGAUGCGCGAAGGCGAUCAGAUACCGCCCUAGUUCUAACCAUAAACGAUGUCAGCCAGCGAUCCGUCGAUGUUUUUUUCAUGACUCGACGGGCAGCUUCCGGGAAACCAAAGCUUUUGGGUUCCGGGGGAAGUAUGGUUGCAAAGCUGAAA